Condylura cristata (star-nosed mole) is the source of this 1455-nucleotide long non-coding RNA. RefSeq lists it as uncharacterized. The transcript has 3 exons. Lineage: Eukaryota; Metazoa; Chordata; Mammalia; Eulipotyphla; Talpidae. The record is from RefSeq and is a predicted model, not a curated record.
UUGCAUCACAGAUGCAGGCAGGGUCACUGGGACCCUGCUGGGGGAGGGGCCAGCCACCCCCAAGGCUUCUGGCAACAGCCUUAGCAGUCCAGCCAGUCACAGAUGCAACACAACUCGCUCAGAUUCUAUUGGCUGACCCCUCACCCUGGCUGGAACUUUCAUUGGCCAAAGUCCUUGAAGUCACCUGUCUCCAAGGCUCCUUAAAGAGCAAGACCACAUGUAUAAAACACCAGAUACACAGGAAAGCCACCAAAUAGCAGCUCUACCCCAGUGUCCAUUAGCUUUCCUAACCAGAGUUGUGUCUCUUUGGAGAGCCCUUCCCAUAGAACCCUCAGGGUGGCCCCUGUCUCUAAUUGUUCUCACAGCAUUUCUUUCCUUAAUAGUAGUUGUUGCCACCUUAUUUGUCUUCUGCCUUCAGGAGCUAAGGAGUAGUUGCAAGUUUUAUUCCUUGUUCUGUUCCCAGUCCUCCCACACAACCUCGUUCUUAGUAAUCAGUCUGGAGUGAAUGAAUGGCUGCACUGUUCCAAAGGAACUAAAAUACCCACAAGAUGACCAUGAUGAUGGUGGUGGUGGGAGUUACAACUGUGGUUUGGGCUGUGCAUUAGGCAUUUGUUUCAGUGCUUGCCAUACAUAUCUGAUUUAGGUUGGGCAAGUGCCACAAGGAAGGUGCCAUUAUUAUGCUCACUUUACUGAUGAGGAAACCGAGACACUCGAGUGAUUUGCCCAAACUCAGCCAGUGGUGGCAGUGGAGCCUGAAGCCAGUGGUUUGCCUCUAGAGUCUGCGCUUGUCGGGUCAGUGGAGCUGCAUUCAGCAUUCAUGAGUACCCACUCUGCACUUGCUUUCUCAAGACUGCAUCUCACCGAUGGACCUUGGAGACAUCACCUUCCUCCACUCUACCAGUGGUCUGAGAAAUGGCCUCACUUCCUCUGCCCUACCAGUUGCCACCUACCCUCUGGCUCACCAUAGCUCAGAAACAUUCAAUGAAUUUCCAGAGUUGACCUAAUGGAUCAAGACUACAUUCUGGCUUGAAAACCAAGGCUCCUUAGGACACUUCCCAAACUACCUUUUUGGGCCACUUCCACACAGCUCUCCAGUGAGGGGCCCAGUUGCUAUUAGGACCUGGCCCAAGUCAAAAUCAUCAGAGUGAAACAGCGUAGCACAGGGUGAGCAUGCCUUUCGAGUUAGCUGCCUCCCCCUCCCUGAUCUGUCCAGCCUGUGUGACCUUCUCCCUUGGGGCUCUUAUAGAAAUGACAGGUUGGCCUCCCACAGAGCGCUGGAGGGUGGCUCUCUCUAUAUGGGCGAGGUGUCUCCUUGCCAACCUGGGCACAUACUGGCCCUCAGCAAUCACUCCUUGGCUUGACUUUGUACCACCUGCAGAGAUCUAUCUUGUUUGAGAUCAGUAUCUCUGUUAGGGCUAGAUAGGCCCUGGGAGGGCAUUUACCUCCCACCCCACC